RNAcentral lists this unclassified non-coding RNA (266 nucleotides) under Hevea brasiliensis (rubber tree). Lineage: Eukaryota; Viridiplantae; Streptophyta; Magnoliopsida; Malpighiales; Euphorbiaceae. The record is from RNAcentral.
AGGAGAUGACUGCAUAUCUAUUGUCGGCAAUUCAUCACGGAUCAAAGUCAAAGACAUUGUGUGUGGGCCAGGCCAUGGUAUAAGCAUUGGAAGCUUGGGAAAGUCAAAUUCAUUUUCUCAGGUUUACAAUGUUCAUGUUAAUGGAGCAUCUAUUUCCAACACUGAGAACGGGGUUAGAAUAAAGACUUGGCAGGGUGGUUCUGGGUUUGUCAAAAAGGUUUCUUUCGAGAAUGUUUGGAUGGAAAAUGUCUCAAAUCCUAUCAUAA